GCGCUUGUAGCUCAGCUGGAUAGAGUGACUGGCUACGAACCAGUAGGUCGGGGGUUCGAGUCCCUCCAAGCGCGCCA
This 77-nucleotide transfer RNA is filed under the name Clostridium sp. RNAcentral's name for it is "tRNA-Arg". It matches the Rfam family "tRNA". From Rfam's summary of the family: Transfer RNA (tRNA) molecules are approximately 80 nucleotides in length. Their secondary structure includes four short double-helical elements and three loops (D, anti-codon, and T loops). The record is from RNAcentral. Lineage: Bacteria; Bacillati; Bacillota; Clostridia; Eubacteriales; Clostridiaceae. RNAcentral also lists the same sequence under 19 other names.